Molecule: ribosomal RNA, 468 nt
Filed under: uncultured bacterium
Lineage: Bacteria
Description: partial 16S ribosomal RNA
Rfam family: Bacterial small subunit ribosomal RNA
Source: RNAcentral
GACGAACGCUGGCGGCGUGCUUAAUACAUGCAAGUCGAACGGAAAGGCCCUGCUUUUGUGGGGUGCUCGAGUGGCGAACGGGUGAGUAACACGUGAGUAACCUGCCCUUGACUUUGGGAUAACUUCAGGAAACUGGGGCUAAUACCGGAUAGGAGCUCCUGCUGCAUGGUGGGGGUUGGAAAGUUUCGGCGGUUGGGGAUGGACUCGCGGCUUAUCAGCUUGUUGGUGGGGUAGUGGCUUACCAAGGCUUUGACGGGUAGCCGGCCUGAGAGGGUGACCGGCCACAUUGGGACUGAGAUACGGCCCAGACUCCUACGGGAGGCAGCAGUGGGGAAUAUUGCACAAUGGGCGGAAGCCUGAUGCAGCAACGCCGCGUGCGGGAUGACGGCCUUCGGGUUGUAAACCGCUUUCGCCUGUGACGAAGCGUGAGUGACGGUAAUGGGUAAAGAAGCACCGGCUAACUAUGUG